AUUGAACGCUGGCGGCAUGCUUUACACAUGCAAGUCGAGCGGCAGCGCGGGGGGCAACUCUGGCGGCGAGCGGCGAACGGGUGAGGAAUACAUCGGAACGUACCCCGGAGUGGGGGAUAACGCCGCGAAAGCGGCGCUAAUACCGCAUAUGCUCUGCGGAGGAAAGUGGGGGACUCGCAAGGGCCUCACGCUCUGGGCGCGGCCGAUGUCCGAUUAGCUAGUUGGGAGGUAAUGGCUCACCAAGGCGACGAUCGGUAGCUGGUCUGAGAGGAUGAUCAGCCACACUGGGACUGAGACACGG
This 301-nucleotide ribosomal RNA is filed under the name uncultured bacterium. Its description in RNAcentral is "bacterial SSU rRNA". It matches the Rfam family "Bacterial small subunit ribosomal RNA", at positions 28 to 329 of the family's 1533-position model. The record is from RNAcentral.